Parus major (Great Tit) is the source of this 1357-nucleotide RNA transcript. RefSeq lists it as uncharacterized. NCBI's taxonomy places the organism in Eukaryota, Metazoa, Chordata, Aves, Passeriformes, Paridae. The record is from RefSeq and is a predicted model, not a curated record. The transcript has 9 exons.
GUUGUAGUCCCGGGCCGCGGCCGGGUCAUGGCAGCGACGGGCAGGCUCGGUCCGGGCGGUGUGCCCGCGGUGCCGGUCGCCAGCGGCCACAGCAUUCCGGUGCUGGGGCUCGGUACUUCCCACCAGGGUGGCUAUUCCCAUGCCGCAGUGGUCCACGCCCUGAGGAAAUGUGGCAUUCGUCAUAUUGACACAGCAAAAAGAUAUGGCUGUGAAUCGCUCAUCCAAAAGGCCAUCAGAGAGAGUGGUGUGAAGCGAGAGGACCUCUGGAUAACUACCAAACUGUGGCACAGUGAUUAUGGCUAUGAAAACACAAAAAAGGCCUGCUUGGAGUCAUGUGAAAGACUUGGUGUUGAAUAUCUUGAUCUUUAUUUGAUUCACUGGCCUGAUGUACAAGUUCUAGGUAAAAGCAAUCGAGAGGUCCGAGCUGAAACCUGGAGAGCGAUGGAAGAGCUAUAUGAGAAAGGUUUGUGUAAAUCAAUUGGUGUAAGCAAUUUUCUUAUCAGCCAUCUUGAACAACUAAAGGAGGACUGUGUGAUUACUCCACAUGUUAAUCAGGUUGAAUAUCACCCUUUCCAAAGACCUCAGGAGCUGGUUGAUUAUUGUAGGAGCAGAGAUAUUGUUUUUGAAGGCUACUGUCCUUUAGCCAAAGGUGAAGCACUCACUCAUCCUGCAAUCAUUCAGCUGGCAAAGAAAUAUGGCAGAACUCCAGCACAGAUUUGCAUACGCUGGAGCAUACAGAAUGGGAUUGUCACUAUUCCAAAGUCAACAAAGGCAGAACGGAUAGAGGAAAACUGCAAGGUGUUUGAUUUUACAAUAGCAGAAGAUGAUGUUGAAAUUCUGAAUGGAAUGCAUGAUGGGAGACAUGUUUCCUGGGAUCCAACUUCUAUUGUGUGAAUCAAGGCACUGUAGGUGUGGCCAGAGUUGCGGGAUGUGCUGCUCAAAGGAGCACGGCACGGACGGAUUGGAGCAGGUCUCAGUUGCUGUGCCCAAGAGGAAUGUGUGUGAUCCUAAUAGUGGCUUGGCCAGCCAGUGCCCUUUGAGGAGCAUUCUGCAGCUGAACUACUAGUAGGAACUUUUAUAUGUUUUUGAUUUUAAUCUGAGGAAAGAAGAUAUGGAAUCUUUGAACACUGAUUAUCAACAGAAAAUUAAUUCAUCUAACCUAUUCCCUGUAGAGAGAAUAAUUUAAAACCAGAUUUUUCUAAACUGGAAAAGUGAUGUAACUGAAACAUGGAUUAGUUUUAAACUGAACAAUAAAUCUGAAUUGUUCUAUUAGGUACUCAGUGUACUCAAGAAUCAAUAUAAAUUGUUUGUAUUUACUCUUAUGUUAACAAAUUAAUAAAAUAAUUUACUCUUUGUA